RNAcentral lists this ribosomal RNA (406 nucleotides) under uncultured bacterium. RNAcentral's name for it is "partial 16S ribosomal RNA". It matches the Rfam family "Bacterial small subunit ribosomal RNA", at positions 30 to 526 of the family's 1533-position model. The record is from RNAcentral.
AUUGAACGCUGGCGGCAGGCCUAACACAUGCAAGUCGAGCGAGCGGCGGACGGGUGAGUAAUGUCUGGGAAACUGCCUGAUGGAGGGGGCUAACUACUGGAACCGGUAGCUAAUACCGCAUACCAUCAGAUUUGCACAGAUGGGAGUAGCUAGUAGGUGGGGUAAUGGCGCACCUAGGCGACGAUCCCUAGCUGGUCUGAGAGGAUGACCAGCCACACUGGAACUGAGACACGGUCCAGACUCCGACGGGAGGCAGCAGUGGGGAAUAGUGUACAAUGGGCGCAAGCCUGAUGCAGCCAUGCCGCGUGUAUGAAGAAGGCCUUCGGGUUGUAAAGUACUUUCAGCGAGGAGGCGUUACUCGCAGAAGAAGCACCGGCUAACUCCGUGCCAGCAGCCGCGGUAAUAC